Molecule: ribosomal RNA, 433 nt
Filed under: uncultured bacterium
Lineage: Bacteria
Description: partial 16S ribosomal RNA
Rfam family: Bacterial small subunit ribosomal RNA
Source: RNAcentral
AACAAACGCUGGCGGCAUGCCUAACACAUGCAAGUCGAACGAGACCUUCGGGUCUAGUGGCGCACGGGUGCGUAACGCGUGGGAACCUGCCCUUAGGUUCGGAAUAACUCCCCGAAAGGGGUGCUAAUACCGGAUAAUGUCUUCGGACCAAAGAUUUAUCGCCUUUGGAUGGGCCCGCGUUGGAUUAGCUAGUUGGUAGGGUAAAAGCCUACCAAGGCGACGAUCCAUAGCUGGUCUGAGAGGAUGAUCAGCCACACUGGGACUGAGACACGGCCCAGACUCCUACGGGAGGCAGCAGUGGGGAAUAUUGGACAAUGGGCGAAAGCCUGAUCCAGCAAUGCCGCGUGAGUGAUGAAGGCCUUAGGGUUGUAAAGCUCUUUUACCCGGGAUGAUAAUGACAGUACCGGGAGAAUAAGCUCCGGCUAACUCCGUG